Molecule: ribosomal RNA, 424 nt
Filed under: uncultured bacterium
Lineage: Bacteria
Description: partial 16S ribosomal RNA
Rfam family: Bacterial small subunit ribosomal RNA
Source: RNAcentral
AAUUUUGGACAAUGGGGGAAACCCUGAUCCAGCAAUGACGCGUGCAGGAGGAAGGCCUUCGGGUUGUAAACUGCUUUUGUACGGAACGAAACGUCUUGGGUUAAUACCCUGGGAUCGUGACGGUACCGUAAGGAUAAGCACCGGCUAACUUAGUGCCAGCAGCCGCGGUAAUACGUAGGGUGCAAGCGUUAAUCGGAAUUACUGGGCGUAAAGAGUGCGCAGGCGGUUUUGUAAGACAGUUGUGAAAUCCCCGGGCUCAACCUGGGAACUGCAAUGGUGACUGCAAGGCUGGAGUGCGGCAGAGGGGGAUGGAAUUCCGCGUGUAGCAGUGAAAUGCGUAGAUAUGCGGAGGAACACCGAUGGCGAAGGCAAUCCCCUGGGCCUGCACUGACGCUCAUGCACGAAAGCGUGGGGAGCAAACAGG